This is a long non-coding RNA of Mya arenaria, 7419 nucleotides long. RefSeq lists it as uncharacterized. Lineage: Eukaryota; Metazoa; Mollusca; Bivalvia; Myida; Myidae. The transcript is spliced from 4 exons. The record is from RefSeq and is a predicted model, not a curated record.
CAACUACAUGGCGCUGAGCUGUAACUUAGAGGAUGUUUUCAAAGAAAUCAAACUGUCGGAACUGAGAGAUAAUGUGCAGUAUGUGACAGAAUCAGAAUUGGACCAAAAAGACACUAGAAGCACACAAGCACAAAAUGGCCACCACCACCAUCACCAUAAAGUGUGUGCUGUCUGUCUACACCAGCUUGCUUCUGGAAUGUAGAAGAGUUCAAGAACGAACCAUGUUGAAAAGCCAACUGGAGCUGGUCAUGGACCUUUGCCUGACCUGCCAUUCAUCCAGAGCCUGCCUCAGUGGUGGUAGGACCAACAGUUGACCACACACAUUGAGUCCAUGAUCUCAGUAGCAGCCAUGACAACAUCUACAGACUGACACCUGCAGUAGGCCUAUGGAUCCAUACAAUCUGCACCUCUCACCUUGAAGUCCUCAGCAUCAACAUUUCUGCUGUCAGUUUGAAACAUCUCAACUCAGAAGGAAGUGAAUGAAUCCCCAGGAUUGUUCCUCAGGAAAAUCUCUUCAACAGGCUGUUGACAGUUUGCAAGCUCUUUGGAUGGAAUUACCUUAGCUUGGGAUACAGAGAAUCUGUGAUAUGAAAGACCUCUUUUGGGCUGCUUUGUGUUAUUGAUUUAUUGACCUUAAAUGUAUUUAUGCCCCCUUUUGAAAAAAGUGGGGUAUAUUGUUUUGCACAUGUCGGUCGGUCGGUCGGUCUGUCUGUCUGUCGGUCGGUCGGUCGGUCGGUCGGAAUACCAAAUGGUUUCCGAUCAAUAACUUGAGAACGCUUUGACCGAGGGACCUCAUACUUGGUAUGUGUAUUGGUCAUCACCAGCAGAUGAACCCUAUUGAUUUUGAGGUCAGUGGGUCAAAGGUCAAGGUCAGUGUGACCUUUACAUGAAAAACGGUUUCCGAUCAAUAACUUGAGAACGCUUUGACCCAGGAACCUCAUACUUGGUAGGUGUAUUGGUCAUGACCAGCAGAUGAACCCUAUUGAUUUUGAGGUCAGUGGGUCAAAGGUCAAGGUCAGUGUGACCUUAACAUGAAAAACGGUUUCCGAUCAAUAACUUGAGAACGCUUUGACCCAGGGACCUCAUACUAGGUAGGCUUAUUGGUCAUGACCAGCAGAUGAACCCUAUUGAUUUUGAGGUCAGUGGGUCAAAGGUCAAGGUCAGUGUGACCUUUACAUGAAAAACGGUUUCCGAUCAAUAACUUGAGAACGCUUUGACCCAGGAACCUCAUACUUGGUAGGUGUAUUGGUCAUGACCAGCAGAUGAACCCUAUUGAUUUUGAGGUCAAAGGUCAAGGUCAGUGUGACCUUAACAUGAAAAACGGUUUCCGAUCAAUAACUUGAGAACGCUUUGACCCAGGGACCUCAUACUAGGUAGGCUUAUUGGUCAUGACCAGCAGAUGAACCCUAUUGAUUUUGAGGUCAGUGGGUCAAAGGUCAAGGUCAGUGUGACUGUAAGCUGAAAAAAGGUUUUCUGAUUGUCCAUAUUUUAUUUUCUUAUAUAGUAGACAGUAGAAAUUUAUAUGUCACUAAAUGCAUGAGUUGAAGUAUCAGUUUUCAGUGAACAUCUAGUUUAAUUAUGCCCCCCUUCGAAGCAGAGGGGUUAUAUAAUUGCUUUGCACAUGUCGGUCGGUCUGUUGGAAGACCAAAGCUUGUCCGAGUGAUAACUCAACAAUUCCCGGACCUAUGGUCAUCAAACUUGACAUGAAGAUUAGGUAUGACCAGUAGAUGACCUGCCUCAUAUGCAUCCAAUGACAAAUCAGCUGUCAUUUCAGUCCAUGCAUAUUUCAUUCAAUUGUCCAAAUAUUUCUGGCAACUUGGCGCUCAGGGGGCAUAAUGUUUGACAAACAUCUCUUGUUUAUAUUUAUUUUGCCACUAUUGUAAAAAAUGGGCAUAUACACUAGCAUAUAUAUGUUUGCAAACAGACACAUUUUAUUUUUUAAAUAACUUAAAAAUACAUUUUGUAGGUUAACCUUAGACCAUGAAACAUUAAUUCAAAGUUUCAAAGUUUAUUCAUACACUCAAUGCAAACAGAGUUUACAAACAUGAGGCUAUUAUAAGUGCAAAGUAUAACGAGGCUUUAUGCAGGCACAUAGUGAAUACAUAUAUGGAAACAAAGUGUACAAUGAGGUUAAAGUUGUCUGAAGGGAAUUAUACAUUGAGUUUCAAAUUACAAAUAGAACUACAAUUAUCAAUAAUCUGAGUCAAAAUUAUGUCAAGUUUAAUCAUUUUAAAACAGAAAAAUCAACAUUAUGCCAUUAAUGGUAGGAUAUCUUUGACCAGAACAUGACCAGUAUUGUAUUUUGAGUUUUUUGGUCAAAGGUGAAGGUCAUGGCAAACAGUGGUUAUUCUGCACAAUAACCCUGAAUUCUUAGACCUAAGACCAUUAAUAUUUAUACUCCAAUGCAUAAGUAACCGGGUCCUGCUGAAAUUCAGCUAGAGCUUAUUAAUUAGCAAGUUUUGCAAAUCAUUAUUUGUGUAUGUAACUAUAAAUACUGAUAGGCUUUGUGUUAAAAACUUGACCAUCACAAAUAAGGGUCAUUUUUGAUCUUACCUUGUUUCAGCCUUGGCAUUUUUUUAACUCUUUUUACAGCAAUCAGGAACAAAGUUUUGUGUUGUUGACUUUAAGAACAUACAUUACAGCUGCACUCUACAGUUUUUACAUUAUUUUACAUGUUUUGUCUCAGAAACAUCCUUCAAUUCAAAUAAUUUAAGAUUAAACAAUAGAACAGAUCUCAAUUGUGUGAAAAACUGCUGAAAAAAAUAAUUUUCUUAAAGCGUAAGUAACUCUUGUAGCCAUAAAACAUCGAUUUCCAAUUGGAAAUUAAAAAAACAACACAAUCUGAUCUUUUGUCAGCAGUCAUAUAUAUAAUUAUCACUGUUUCCAGACAUCUAGCACAAAAUACCUCAUUCCAAGACAAAAAAGAUGUCAAAUCGGUCUAUCCGGCUGUGAGAGAGCAGCUUUAAACAGAGACUAUAUGAUAUAUUAGGUUUCAGAGCCAAUGUUUUUGCAUAAUUAUAUAAUCAGUUUUCCAUUAACAUGAUAUUAAACCUGUUAAAUUUUUUCAAAGUUUCGUAAAACAUUUGAUGGAUUUAGAAAUAAAACUUAUUUGAAAGUUGAUUUUGUUAGGAAUAAUGUACUGAAAAUUUGGUACAAAUGUGUAGGACUGAUAUUAAUGUUCAAGGGGAUGGUGUUGUUGUGUCACUGGUUAAGGUUACAUCAAUCAUUCAGUAUUAUAAAAAAUGUUUGCAUAAUAACUUAGAGUUAUUAACAGAGUUAUUUGUUUGAGGACCUUGUAACUUUGUGCUAGUUUGCACUAAAACAGCAUACAACCACUAGCCGAUUCAGUGGGGGUACUUAUUAUGUCAAUAUCGAAAGGUAAUAAAAUAGGCUAAAUAUGCACCAUUUCAAUCGUGAUUUGUUUAAAAUUUCCCUGAACCCCACUGCAAACAUUUAAAGCUGUAUCAUUUUCGUCUCUGAGGGAUGGGCGUGUGUCAAAAGAUUGCGCCCUUAAUCAUCACCCUCCUGCAUCAAUUCCUGCUUGUUUUGAAACCAGUUGAUCAAAGUCACUGUUAAUGCUAUAAGUAAAACAUUCUUUUUGUUUUAUAUCUCAGACAGUUAAUACGUUUUUAGUAUAUUUGACUUGACCAGUCGAUUAUCCUUUAUGAUCAUUAGGUCAAAAGUAAAUAUUACAGUCAUUGCUGAUAUAUACCUUCUUUAAUCUAGCACAAUGUCUUUAAACAUCUUUUGUUUAAAUGAUUUAUUUGUUUAAUGAUAGCAUGUACUAUUGCAUUGUGCAUUAGUUGAUUGGAGUUUGUGUUCAAUGUGCGUAAAUUAGCACAAGUAUCUUUUUAACUAAAAUACCAUUAUGUACAGAUGUAUUCUCUUGCUUUUUAACCACAUUAUUUGCAAGAUAUUUGCAUAUACUGACAGGUAUUGGUCUUAAUUAGUUAAAUGAACAAUAAAAGGUUACAAUGCAGUCAUAUUUGACUAACUUUUAAAAUACCCAACUGUGUGAAAUUUUUGUUAGUUUGUUUCCAUUAACCUGGCUGAUCACUAUUAUUUCCACGGACCCUACACCUUUUGCUGUAGUGUGUAUUUGUUUUCUUAAUUUCCUAAAAAUGUGCUUUUUUGGUGAACAUGUUAAAUUUUGACCAUGUUAAGCUUGACUAUUGGAAGAAUAAGGAGGCUUUACUACUUGACCCAGUGUCGCUGUUGACGUCCGGUUCAAGGUUUGAGGCAAGUUGGCAUUUUCACUUAAAAUCCAAUAACCUUUACACAGUUGUUCAGGACCAUCACACAAUGCCAUGUUAUCUUUAAUACAAAAAUUAUGGCCUCUGACUUAGGAACUUACUUUAAAGUUUUAAGGCACAUUGUGUAAGGUUACAGUUUUAGGGCAAUUUGGGAUUUUUAUAAAUUACUUCUAUACAUUUCAUUCAAUUGUCUUAAUACUUCACACAAUUAUUGAAGACACUUACAAUUGGGUUAGAUAAGUCUAUAUUAUCCCUAAAUGAUUUUUUAUGCCCCCACAAAGUGGCGGCAUAUAGGGUUGCCCUUGUCCGUACGUACGUCUGUCCGUACGUACGUACGUACGUACGUCCGUACGUCCCGAAGAUUGUUUCCGAUCUAAUUCUUGAAAACCGUUUGUCCAAUCCUCACCAAACUUCAAACACAUGUUUGUGACCAUAAUAUCUUGAUCAAGUUCGAUAGUCAUGGAAAUCGCUUCAGUCAUUUAGGAGUUACGGCCCUUUUUUGCCAAAAAUUCCCGAAGAUUGUUUCCGAUCUAAUUCUUGAAAACCGUUUGUCCAAUCCUCACCAAACUUUAAACACAUGUUUGUGACCAUAAUAUCUUGAUCAAGUUCGAUAGUCAUGGAAAUCGCUUUAGUCAUUUAGGAGUUACGGCCCUUUUUUGCCAAAAAUACUUCAAAAAUAUAUGUUUCCAAUCUAAUUCUUGAAAAGUAUGUGUCCAAUCCUCACCAAACUUUACAUACAUGAUUGUGACCAUAAUAUCUUGAUCAAGUUCGAUAGCCAAGGAAAUCGCUUUUGUCAUUUAGGAGUUACGGCCCUUUAUUUGCAAAAAAAGACUUGAAAAAUACGUCCCGAAGAUUGUUUCCGAUCUAAUUCUUGAAAACUGUUUGUCCAAUCCUCACCAAACUUUUAACACAUGUUUGUGACCAUAAUAUCUUGAUCAAGUUCGAUAGCCAUGGAAAUCACCUUAAUCAUUUAGGAGUUAGGGCCCUCAGAUUAUCCUGAAUAAUCAUUAUGGCUUAUUUUCUGUGACAAAAAAUCGAAGUGGGGGCAUCCGUGUCCUAUGGACACAUUUCUAGUUUUUCCUUGAUUGACUUUUGUACGUUUUUAUUAUGCCCCCUUUUGAAAAAAGUGGGGUAUAUUGUUUUGCACAUGUCGGUCGGUCGGUCGGUCUGUCUGUCGGUCGGUCGGAAUACCAAAUGGUUUCCGAUCAAUAACUUGAGAACGCUUUGACCGAGGGACCUCAUACUUGGUAUGUGUAUUGGUCAUCACCAGCAGAUGAACCCUAUUGAUUUUGAGGUCAGUGGGUCAAAGGUCAAGGUCAGUGUGACCUUUACAUGAAAAACUGUUUCCGAUCAAUAACUUGAGAACGCUUUGACCCAGGAACCUCAUACUUGGUAGGUGUAUUGGUCAUGACCAGCAGAUGAACCCUAUUGAUUUUGAGGUCAGUGGGUCAAAGGUCAAGGUCAGUGUGACCUUAACAUGAAAAACGGUUUCCGAUCAAUAACUUGAGAACGCUUUGACCCAGGGACCUCAUACUAGGUAGGCUUAUUGGUCAUGACCAGCAGAUGAACCCUAUUGAUUUUGAGGUCAGUGGGUCAAAGGUCAAGGUCAGUGUGACCUUAACAUGAAAAACGGUUUCCGAUCAAUAACUUGAGAACGCUUUGACCCAGGAACCUCAUACUUGGUAGGUGUAUUGGUCAUGACCAGCAGAUGAACCCUAUUGAUUUUGAGGUCAGUGGGUCAAAGGUCAAGGUCAGUGUGACUGUAAGCUGAAAAAAGGUUUUCUGAUUGUCCAUAUUUUAUUUUCUUAUAUAGUAGACAGUAGAAAUUUAUAUGUCACUAAAUGCAUGAGUUGAAGUAUCAGUUUUCAGUGAACAUCUAGUUUAAUUAUGCCCCCCUUCGAAGCAGAGGGGUUAUAUAAUUGCUUUGCACAUGUCGGUCGGUCUGUUGGAAGACCAAAGCUUGUCCGAGUGAUAACUCAACAAUUCCCGGACCUAUGGUCAUCAAACUUGACAUGAAGAUUAGGUAUGACCAGUAGAUGACCUGCCUCAUAUGCAUCCAAUGACAAAUCAGCUGUCAUUUCAGUCCAUGCAUAUUUCAUUCAAUUGUCCAAAUAUUUCUGGCAACUUGGCGCUCAGGGGGCAUAAUGUUUGACAAACAUCUCUUGUUCCUUUUGAUAGGCACAUUUUAUAUUUGUAACCAGGUUUUCACUGUGAAGUGAAACCUGGUUAUAACAAUGAUAUUGUUUUGUGGGCUGGUCAGCAGAAGGGCAGCAUCAAAUACAUCUAUGGUACCUUAUAAUUUUAGUUAAGUUUGACAGAGAGUGACCAAAUUUGGUAUAUUGGUAGAGUUUAUUGAGAUUUUACAUGGGAUUACAUUUGCGACUCCUAGGAUCAAGGUCAAGGUCACUGUUAAUAUAAAUAGAAAAAUGGUUAGUACCGAAUAACUAUUUAACGUUGACAUAUUGUGACCAAACUUAGUAUAUAGGAAGAGCUUAUAGAGACCUCUCGUGGGAUUGCAUUUGGGGCCCAUAGGAUCAAGGUCACCAUUACAAAAACAAAAAAAAACUAUUGAAACCUAAUCACUCAACAAAGGGUUAAUUAAUUAUGUUUGUCUGUCAAUCAUUGAAAACCUGUUUUUGUUGCAUUGCAGUAUUUCUUGCUUACUUUUAAUUUUGACUAUUUUAUAUUGCAUUUGACAGCCACAUAUUACAUCAUUAUUGUAUUAAUUUCUAAGACAAAGCGGCAUAUAGUUGAGGGCACUGUCCUUUGACAGCUCUUGUUUAUCUUAAAAAAAUACAAUGGUGAUAUACCCUGGUAUAGGAAGUUUGGGUACAGAAUCCCGUUCUAAAAAUAAAAUAGAAAAAAGCAUAUUGACCUACCCUAUUUAUUUUGGAGAAGUUAGUUGAAACAAAAACUUUUUUGACCAUUUAUAUUAAAUAUUGUAUCCCUAAGAUUUUUGCUUAAAGCUCCAUGUAUCCAAUAAGGUAACUGUUGUUCUCAAAUGUAAUAGCUUUCGCCUAUAAACUUUCAAUAGUUCAUUGGAACCAGUAGGUUCAUCAAGAUGCAUCUCUGUUCAUGUAGCCCAGUCCAGAACAUUUAUCACACUGCUGUGUCAGCACUUUUUUGAAUGGAUUUUUUUAUUUUCAUAUAUAUAUUAUGAUUUCAA